This 468-nucleotide ribosomal RNA is filed under the name uncultured bacterium. RNAcentral's name for it is "partial 16S ribosomal RNA". It matches the Rfam family "Bacterial small subunit ribosomal RNA", at positions 28 to 507 of the family's 1533-position model. The record is from RNAcentral.
GACGAACGCUGGCGGCGUGCUUAACACAUGCAAGUCGAACGGAAAGGCCCUGCUUUUGUGGGGUGCUCGAGUGGCGAACGGGUGAGUAACACGUGAGUAACCUGCCCUUGACUUUGGGAUAACUCCAGGAAACUGGGGCUAAUACCGGAUAGGAGCUCCUGCUGCAUGGUGGGGGUUGGAAAGUUUCGGCGGUUGGGGAUGGACUCGCGGCUUAUCAGCUUGUUGGUGGGGUAGUGGCUUACCAAGGCUUUGACGGGUAGCCGGUCUGAGAGGGUGACCGGCCACAUUGGGACUGAGAUACGGCCCAGACUCCUACGGGAGGCAGCAGUGGGGAAUAUUGCACAAUGGGCGGAAGCCUGAUGCAGCAACGCCGCGUGCGGGAUGACGGCCUUCGGGUUGUAAACCGCUUUCGCCUGUGACGAAGCGUGAGUGACGGUAAUGGGUAAAGAAGCACCGGCUAACUACGUG